RNAcentral lists this ribosomal RNA (775 nucleotides) under Mycobacterium avium subsp. paratuberculosis. RNAcentral describes it as "bacterial SSU rRNA". It matches the Rfam family "Bacterial small subunit ribosomal RNA", at positions 112 to 887 of the family's 1533-position model. The record is from RNAcentral. Lineage: Bacteria; Bacillati; Actinomycetota; Actinomycetes; Mycobacteriales; Mycobacteriaceae.
AACACGUGGGCAAUCUGCCCUGCACUUCGGGAUAAGCCUGGGAAACUGGGUCUAAUACCGGAUAGGACCUCAAGACGCAUGUCUUCUGGUGGAAAGCUUUUGCGGUGUGGGAUGGGCCCGCGGCCUAUCAGCUUGUUGGUGGGGUGACGGCCUACCAAGGCGACGACGGGUAGCCGGCCUGAGAGGGUGUCCGGCCACACUGGGACUGAGAUACGGCCCAGACUCCUACGGGAGGCAGCAGUGGGGAAUAUUGCACAAUGGGCGCAAGCCUGAUGCAGCGACGCCGCGUGGGGGAUGACGGCCUUCGGGUUGUAAACCUCUUUCACCAUCGACGAAGGUCCGGGUUUUCUCGGAUUGACGGUAGGUGGAGAAGAAGCACCGGCCAACUACGUGCCAGCAGCCGCGGUAAUACGUAGGGUGCGAGCGUUGUCCGGAAUUACUGGGCGUAAAGAGCUCGUAGGUGGUUUGUCGCGUUGUUCGUGAAAUCUCACGGCUUAACUGUGAGCGUGCGGGCGAUACGGGCAGACUAGAGUACUGCAGGGGAGACUGGAAUUCCUGGUGUAGCGGUGGAAUGCGCAGAUAUCAGGAGGAACACCGGUGGCGAAGGCGGGUCUCUGGGCAGUAACUGACGCUGAGGAGCGAAAGCGUGGGGAGCGAACAGGAUUAGAUACCCUGGUAGUCCACGCCGUAAACGGUGGGUACUAGGUGUGGGUUUCCUUCCUUGGGAUCCGUGCCGUAGCUAACGCAUUAAGUACCCCGCCUGGGGAGUACGGCC